This is a long non-coding RNA of Perognathus longimembris pacificus (Pacific pocket mouse), 537 nucleotides long. RefSeq lists it as uncharacterized. Lineage: Eukaryota; Metazoa; Chordata; Mammalia; Rodentia; Heteromyidae. The record is from RefSeq and is a predicted model, not a curated record. The transcript is spliced from 2 exons.
UCUAAGAUCAGACCUGAAACACAUUGCCAAAGAUUUAAUAUUGAUUUAGAAUUGAUUUUGACACACUACUACUGAAUGUUGUAGAGAACACAAAAGAAAUAUCUGCCAUACAUUCUCUUUCUUCAUGAAAUUUGUGCUAUUUUCUAAGGGCCUUAGGGAGGAUGAGGUAAUUUACCAUACUGUCACAUGUAGUAUGGAAUUAAGCAUUUUAGUAGUAUAGGCAGUAAAUCUUAAAGGAAGCUGAAAUCAUGCUAGAGACAGAAGUGGUUAGAUGAAUCUUUUAGAGAUGGAACCAAAUUAAAUCCCAACAUUAUUUGACUUUGUGGUGUAUAUUCUUUUGCUAUACUCUCCUGCCCCUUUCCUAGGGGGCAGGAUACUAAUCAGUGGUGUGUUAUACUUAACAAAUUCCAGGUUGAAAGAAAAAAAAGUAUAAAAGCUAGAUGUAGUAUUGCAUUCCUGUAGUCCCAGAAUUUGGAAGUCUGAUGCAGGAGGACAAAGUUAAAGGUCAGCUGGGAUUAUAUUUACCCUAUCUCAAAA